AGUGAACGCUGGCGGUAGGCCUAACACAUGCAAGUCGAACGGCAGCACAGUAAGAGCUUGCUCUUACGGGUGGCGAGUGGCGGACGGGUGAGGAAUACAUCGGAAUCUACUUUUUCGUGGGGGAUAACGUAGGGAAACUUACGCUAAUACCGCAUACGACCUACGGGUGAAAGCAGGGGAUCUUCGGACCUUGCGCGAUUGAAUGAGCCGAUGUGGGAUUAGCUAGUUGGCGGGGUAAAGGCCCACCAAGGCGACGAUCCGUAGCUGGUCGGAGAGGAUGGUCAGCCACACUGGAACUGAGACACGGUCCAGGCUCCUACGGGAGGCAGCAGUGGGGAAUAUUGGGCAGUGGGCGCAAGCCUGAUCCAGCCAUACCGCGUGGGUGAAGAAGGCCUUCGGGUUGUAAAGCCCUUUUGUUGGGAAAGAAAAGCAGCAGGUUAAUACCCCGCUGUUCUGACGGUACCCAAAGAAUAAGCACCGGCUAACUUCGUG
This 492-nucleotide ribosomal RNA is filed under the name uncultured bacterium. RNAcentral describes it as "partial 16S ribosomal RNA". It matches the Rfam family "Bacterial small subunit ribosomal RNA", at positions 29 to 507 of the family's 1533-position model. The record is from RNAcentral.